GACUGUUACGGUGGACUAAGUGGUUAGAGCGUCCGUCUUGGAUGCAAGCGGUCGCGGGUUCGAACCCCGGCCGAGCCA
Potamilus streckersoni is the source of this 78-nucleotide non-coding RNA. The record is from the annotation of a GenBank genome assembly. Lineage: Eukaryota; Metazoa; Mollusca; Bivalvia; Unionida; Unionidae.